GUGGGGAAUAUUGGACAAUGGGCGCAAGCCUGAUCCAGCCAUGCCGCGUGAGUGAUGAAGGCCUUAGGGUUGUAAAGCUCUUUCAGUAGGGAAGAUAAUGACGGUACCUACAGAAGAAGCCCCGGCUAACUUCGUGCCAGCAGCCGCGGUAAUACGAAGGGGGCUAGCGUUGUUCGGAUUUACUGGGCGUAAAGCGCACGUAGGCGGAAUGUUAAGUCAGAGGUGAAAUCCUGGAGCUCAACUCCAGAACUGCCUUUGAUACUGGCAAUCUCGAGUCCGGAAGAGGUGAGUGGAACUCCUAGUGUAGAGGUGGAAUUCGUAGAUAUUAGGAAGAACACCAGUGGCGAAGGCGGCUCACUGGUCCGGUACUGACGCUGAGGUGCGAAAGCGUGGGGAGCAAACAGGAUUAGAAACCCGGGUAGUCC
RNAcentral lists this ribosomal RNA (425 nucleotides) under uncultured bacterium. RNAcentral describes it as "partial 16S ribosomal RNA". It matches the Rfam family "Bacterial small subunit ribosomal RNA", at positions 354 to 796 of the family's 1533-position model. The record is from RNAcentral.